UUUAUCAAUUAGUCUAAUGCCUAAUCUAGUCUCAUCUCAGAAGUUAAGCAGGGAUGGGCCUGGAUAGAGCUUGGAUGGGAGACCGUUGGGAAAAUGGCAAAUGCUAAAU
This 109-nucleotide ribosomal RNA is filed under the name Periophthalmus magnuspinnatus. The record is from RNAcentral. Lineage: Eukaryota; Metazoa; Chordata; Actinopteri; Gobiiformes; Gobiidae.